NNNNNNNNNNNNNNNNNNNNNNNNNGUGCCCACGGCAUGCACACGCAGCGUCACGCGUGUGCUUAUGGCAUGCACACACAGCAUCACGCGUGUGCCCACGGCAUGCACACGCAGCGUCACACGUGUGCCCACGGCAUGCACACACAGCGGUACACGUGGGCUCACAGCAUGCACACACAGCAUCACACGUGUGCUCAUGGCAUGCACGCGCAGCAGCACACAUGUGCUCAUGGCAUGCACGCGCAGCAUCACACGUGUGCUCAUGGCAUGCACACACAGCGGUACACGUGUGCUCACGGCAUGCACACACAGCAUCACACGUGUGCUCAUGGCAUGCAUGCGCAGCCUCACACGUGUGCUCAUGGCAUGCACACGCAGCAGCACACAUGUGCUCAUGGCAUGCACAUGCAGCAGCACACGUGCCCACAGCAUGCACACACAGCGGCACACGUGUGCCCACGGCAUGCACGUGCAGUGGCACACGUGUGCUCAUGGCAUGCACGUGCAGCAUCACGCAUGUGCUCAUGGCAUGCACACGGCACACGUAGCAUGCAUGCAGGGCUUGCACACGUACACGUGGUGGGUGUGCACGGCAUGCACAUGCUGCCUCACACGUGUGCUCAUGGCAUAGACACACAGCAUCACACGUGCACACACAGCACGCGCACACGCAGCAUGCACGCAGGGCUUGCACGCACUUGCGCACACAGUGGGUGCACACGGCAUGUCAUGCAACCUCGCACGUGUGUGCGCAGAGCAUGCACACAGCAUCGCACAUGCUUGCGGCAUGCAUGCGCAGCAUCAUGUGUGCACGCAGCAUGCACAUGCGUGCACAUGACAUAUACACACAGCCUGCGUGCAGGGCUUGCACACGUGUGUGCACAUGGCAGGUACACAUGGCAUGUACACACAGCAUCACACGUGUGCGCAGCAUGCACCAGCAUCACAUGCGCAUUCGCAGCACACACACAUAGCGUCACAUGUGUGCACAUGGUGUGCAUGCACACACAGAGCACGCACGAACAUGGUGUGCACAGAGCGGGCACACUCAGGGCGCAAUACAUGCAUACACGUUGCAUGCAGAGUAUUGCAUGCCUGCACACCCACACACACACCCACACACACACACGCAGACACAGUAUGACAUGUGCACACACUGCGUGCAAACACAGAUGUGCUGACACACGGCAUGCACACGCAUGCACAAACCAUAGCAUAGACACACGUUGCAUGUAAGCGCCCAUACACAUAGCAUGUUCACACACCUGCCCACGUCAGGCACACAGGUGGCAUGUCCACAUGCGUGCACACACGUGAUUGCAUGUACACGGCUGGGCACACGCGUCCUGCACGCCCCUCUCUUGGGGAUGGUGCAGGCACCACCUUGCAGCGCACGCGUGUCCCCGAUGUGCACGCGCACGCUUCCACGGCACCCCCGUCGCACCCCUGCCAGGCGCUGCCCGGCACACGCAUGGCGGCACGUGUGUCCCCGCUUUGCUUUGCUCCCACGCGCUGGU
Molecule: long non-coding RNA, 1517 nt
Filed under: Dromaius novaehollandiae (emu)
Lineage: Eukaryota; Metazoa; Chordata; Aves; Casuariiformes; Dromaiidae
Description: lncRNA (ENSDNVG00000014918.1)
Source: RNAcentral